RNAcentral lists this long non-coding RNA (2103 nucleotides) under Anser brachyrhynchus (Pink-footed goose). RNAcentral's name for it is "lncRNA (ENSABRG00000016585.1)". Lineage: Eukaryota; Metazoa; Chordata; Aves; Anseriformes; Anatidae. The record is from RNAcentral.
AAUAUAAUACAUAUAAUGGAUAUCUCUAAUAUAAAAUAGCUAUACAUAAUAUAUAAUAGAUAUAAUUAAUGGAUAUAUCUAAUGCGUGUAAUAUAUCUAAUAUGUAUACCAUAUAUUAUAACGAAUAUAUAACGAAUAUUGUAAUUAAUAUUUAAUGAAUAUGAUAUAGAGAGAGGAUAUUGGAGAUAUAACAGAUAUAUCGAAUAUAUAUAAUAUAUAUGAUAUAUAUAAAAUAUAUAUUAUAUACAAUAUAUAUAUCGAAUAUAUCAAAUAUAUAUUAUAUUUUAUGGACCUACUAUAGGCUAUUUAAUGAUUUAUAUCAUGCUAGAUAAACUAAUUUAAUUUAAUUAAUUAGCCGAAGGAAACCUAUAUAUUUUUAUAGAGAUAUUUGUAAAUCUAAACAUUAAUUAAUCGGCAGUAAAUAUUUCUAUAUUAACGAGAUUUUAAUCUUUAUAAAACUAAUUAUGCCCACUAAAUUUAUAGAAAAUUUAUUAAUUAUCUCUAUAUUAAUAGAUAGGCGAGAUACACAUUAGACAUUCUUGAUCGACAACCUAUAGGCCCCAAUUUAACCAAAUUCAGCCGUUUUUAGCUAAAAUCAAAAGACAUUAAAACGGACAAAUGAGGGGACAGGAAAACGCAAAAAUUAAAGAAAGCCACCCAACCUGCCCCCAAAAAUGCAAGAUUUGGGUCCGGAAAGGUGAAAAACUGCAAGUUUUUUUUAAUUUCAACCUUUCCGAAGGGAUUAAUUAGCACUAAUUAGCUUGAUUGAUUUUCCAAAUUUUACAUUAAGCCACUGAACCCAGUCCUCAAACCACAUUUAUUUGGCUUUUGCCCCAAUUCGGACUUUUUCAAAGAAAUUAGCGCUUCGCGCUUAACGAGGAUGGUGUGGGGACUUAAUGAGCUAGGUUAAUUAGAGGCUGCUAGGGACUAAUUGCACUAAUUGAUUGUUGUAAUUGGAUGAGUUUAAAUGCACUGGUUGCUGGGACUGGCCCAGUAUGGACCAGUAUGAGGGCUCUGGAACUGGAGAUACUAAACUGGAUGUACUGGGGCUAUAGGCUGCUGGUACUGGACCAGUACAGACCAGUAGAGGGGCUGUGGCACCAGUACUGGCUGUACUGGGACCAGUACGGGAGCUCCGGCCCCUGUACUGCCUGUACUGGGACAAGUACAGGGGUCCCGGCACCAAUACUGCCUGUACUGGGACCAGUACGGGGGUCCCGGCCCCUGUACUACUGGUACUGGGAACAGUACAGGGGCCCCAGCACCUGUACUGGUGGUACCGGGACCAGCACAGGAGCUCCGGCACCUGUACUGGUGGUACUGGGACCAGUACAGGGUCCCGGCACCUGUACGGGUGGUACUGGGACCAGCACGGGAGCUCCGGCACCUGUACUGCCCAUACUGGGACCAGUACGGGAGCUCCGGCACCUCUACUGCCCGUACUGGGACCAGUACGGGAGCUCCGGCACCUGUACUGGUGGUACUGGGACCAGUACGGGGGCCCCGGCACCUGUACUGGUGGUACUGGGACCAGUAUGGGAGCUCCGGCACCUGUACUGGUGGUACUGGGGCCAGUAUGGGAGCUCUGGCACCUGUACUGGUGGUACUGGGACCAGUACGGGAGCUCCGGCACCUGUACUGCCUGUACUGGGACCAGUACGGGGGCCCCGGCACCUGUACUGCCUGUACUGGGACCAGUACGGGAGCCCCGGCACCUGUACGGGUGGUACUGGGACCAGUAUGGGGGACCCAGCACCUGUACUGGUGAUACUGGGACCAGUAGAGGAGCGCCAGCACCAGUACUGGUGGUUACUGGAACCAGUACAGGGGGUUCCGGCACCAUUACUGGUUGUACUGGGACCAUUAUGGGGGACCCAGCACCUGUACUGGUGGUACUGGGACCAGUAUGGGAGUGCCAGCACCAGUACUGGUGGUACUGGAACCAGUACAGGAGCUCCAGCAUCAUUACUGCCCAUACUGGGACCAGUGCAGGGGUUCCGGCACCAGUACUGCUCAUACUGGGACCAGUACGGGGGCUCCGGCACCAGUACUGGUGGUCCUGGGACCAGUAGGGGGCUGUGGCACCCAUUCUGGUGGUACUGG